RNAcentral lists this long non-coding RNA (1646 nucleotides) under Marmota monax (woodchuck). Lineage: Eukaryota; Metazoa; Chordata; Mammalia; Rodentia; Sciuridae. The record is from RNAcentral.
CGUGAGACCCACCUUCCUCCCUCUGAUCGCACUCUACCCUGGAGGGGCCCAAGCUUGAACAGAAGGAAAGGAAGGCAGUAAUACUGCGCGGGGUGGACAACAGGAGAUGGUGUUGUUUAAAUAAAGUGAAUUCUCUUGCCUGAGGUCGCACACUCUCCUCCACAGAUAGGGUAAAAUUGUACCAAUGAAUCUUCCAACUGUUUUUUUUUUUUUAAGCUGCAAAUACUCCUGGUGGACCAACACACAAAGUCGUGAACACUUCAGUGUGAAUCAGUCACUCACAUGCUUGCCUCCGGGAGCGCCAGGUGUCAGGUGCAGGAAGGAGAGGAAGGGCACAGAGACAGAAGACCAGCACCCCCUUGACAGGUUUCCAGGGCUGCUUCCCCCAGCCCUGCGUGGAGUAGGCACAGUUUUCUUUCCUGUCAAGUUUCCCGUUUGGAGCAUGGAGCUUCGGUUGGUCCCCCUGGUCCCAGGCAGCUACCUGGGAUGUCCCUUGGUGGCGUGUGGUCUUAUCUUCCUUAAGCUUCUACCAUCUCGGUGACUGAUUUCCAGGGUGGCAGAGAAUCUGGUUGGGUUUCUUGGAAAAUUCUUACAAACAUUGCAGGCCUUCUCCCUUCCCAGAACAAACAGUGUUGUUUAGAGAGUUAUCAGAGCUCCUCCUCAGGGCGCUCAGAUGCUGCGUCAGCAGACAACACCAGGUUCCUCCCUGACUCUCCCUUUUUCCUUCUCCUCUGGCUCUGUCCUUGUCUUUCACCUUUCCCCUCCUUUCUCCCGUGGGAUUGCAGUUUUGCACGUGGAAUAAUGACUCACUCUGGACUUCAGGGACCUGGAUCAGGGGAUGAUUUAUUCUUCCUUGACCACCCACCCAAAUCAGCGCCCUUCCCAGUUUUCCCUUUCCCAGGGGGCUUACCAGCACUUACCGUGCUUUGCAAUGACUGUGUCCACCUGGUGUCCCCUCCGUCAGAUGCAAGCCGCCUGGGCACAGACUGCUGGCUCCCUUCUUUGUGCUGUGUGUCGGGUGAAGGAUAAGCAAGCUGGAAAGACCCGAGGGUCAGGCGAAGACGAGCGACGCUGGGGGGCCGACUGCGCCCUGGUUUCCAAGGCAGAUUUCACAGAGAAGGAGAGGUUUGCAUCCCGAGAGGGCGGAACAGGGGUUGGAUUUACCCACAACUCAGCCUCCAGGAUCAGGAGUGAGGACUGCUGGAAACCAUUGAGAAUGGAGCAGAAGCCAAGGUUCAAAUAGGGAGUGUGAGUUGGACCCUGAGGGCGGGCAGUCACCUAUCAAGGGUCUGACUCGGGCUCUCUCCCUCCCGAGGCCUCGCUCACACCCAGCCCUGCUCUGUGAGGACUCAGCGAGAGCCUCCUAGGUGACCAGGAGCCAGCAAGGCUCCCUGGAUGGGCAUCCUAGGCUGUGUCUGGGGGGACGUAGGGAGGGAUGACUGUUUAUCUGAGCACCGGCUGGUACUAGCCACUUGGGGACAAGCAUCCAGCUCUCCUCACAGACACUCAUGAAGGGAGUUGCUAGCAGCCCAGCCGCCCAGGCCUGUUUUCCCCACUGAGGGAAUGGGUGCUGGGCUGGUUAACAACUUUCUGCCGACAGCAGGAUUUGCCUGGGCCUGAGAGAGUGCUCGGCGCUGCUGUCCUUG